Molecule: transfer RNA, 76 nt
Filed under: Legionella hackeliae
Lineage: Bacteria; Pseudomonadati; Pseudomonadota; Gammaproteobacteria; Legionellales; Legionellaceae
Also listed under: 6 other names
Description: tRNA-Thr (TGT) (tRNA-Thr-TGT-1-1)
Rfam family: tRNA
About the family: Transfer RNA (tRNA) molecules are approximately 80 nucleotides in length. Their secondary structure includes four short double-helical elements and three loops (D, anti-codon, and T loops). Further hydrogen bonds mediate the characteristic L-shaped molecular structure. tRNAs have two regions of fundamental functional importance: the anti-codon, which is responsible for specific mRNA codon recognition, and the 3' end, to which the tRNAs corresponding amino acid is attached (by aminoacyl-tRNA synthetases). tRNAs cope with the degeneracy of the genetic code in two manners: having more than one tRNA (with a specific anti-codon) for a particular amino acid; and 'wobble' base-pairing, i.e. permitting non-standard base-pairing at the 3rd anti-codon position.
Source: RNAcentral
GCUGGCGUAGCUCAGUAGGUAGAGCAACUGACUUGUAAUCAGUAGGUCCCGGGUUCGAUUCCUGGUGCCAGCACCA